This 519-nucleotide ribosomal RNA is filed under the name uncultured bacterium. RNAcentral describes it as "bacterial SSU rRNA". It matches the Rfam family "Bacterial small subunit ribosomal RNA", at positions 94 to 630 of the family's 1533-position model. The record is from RNAcentral.
AGUGGCAGACGGGUGAGUAACACGUGGGCAACCUACCGUAGAGUGGGGGAUAACUAGCCGAAAGGUUAGCUAAUACCGCAUGAAACGUGCUGUGGCAUCACAGAACGUUAGAAGGAGCAAUCCGCUUUAUGACGGGCCCGCGUCCGAUUAGCUAGUUGGUGGGGUAAUGGCCUACCAAGGCUCCGAUCGGUAGCUGGUUUGAGAGAGCGACCAGCCACACUGGGACUGAAAAACGGCCCAGACUCCUACGGGAGGCAGCAGUGAGGAAUUUUCCGCAAUGGGCGAAAGCCUGACGGAGCGACGCCGCGUGUGGGAAGAAGGCCUUCGGGUCGUAAACCACUGUCGAAGGGGACUAUACUGAAGGUACCCUUGGAGGAAGCCCCGGCUAACUACGUGCCACCAGCCGCGGUAAGACGUAGGGGGCAAGCGUUAUUCGGAAUUAUUGGGCGUAAAGCGCUCGUAGGCGGGACAGGAAGUCCGUGAAGAAAGACCUGGGCUCAACUCAGGGAACGGCACGGA